UUAUAUCCGCAUAGAACAGGUGUCUUCUCAAAAGGGUUUUAAAACAGGCUCUUUUGAAGACUUAAUAGGGAAGCUGGUGAAAUUCCAGCGCGGUCCCGCCACUGUAAAUGGAAGCUGUCUGUAAAUCCACUGUACAGGAAUGUAUGGGAAGGAGCAGAACGCAUUGACCAUGAGCCAGGAGACCUGCCUGAUUCUUAAGCACCCA
This 205-nucleotide non-coding RNA is filed under the name Bacillus sp. (in: firmicutes). Lineage: Bacteria; Bacillati; Bacillota; Bacilli; Caryophanales; Bacillaceae. The record is from RNAcentral.